GUGAAUUGCAGAAUUCAGUGAAUCAUCGAAUCUUUGAACGCACAUUGCGCCCAUUAGUAUUCUAGUGGGCAUGCCUGUUCGAGCGUCAUUUCAAACCCUUAAGCCCUGUUGCUUAGCGUUGGGAGCCUGCCGUAAAAGGCAGCUCCUCAAAGUCAUCGGCGGAGUUUCAGUAAUCUCUAAGCGUAGUAAUUCGUUCUCGCUUCUGAAGUGCUGUAGCCCCUGCCGCUAAACCCCCAAUUUUUCAGGUUUGACCUCGGAUCAGGUAGGAAUACCCGCUGAACUUAAGCAUAUCAAUAAGCGGAGGAAA
RNAcentral lists this ribosomal RNA (307 nucleotides) under uncultured fungus. RNAcentral's name for it is "eukaryotic LSU rRNA". The stretch from base 1 to 88 matches the Rfam family "5.8S ribosomal RNA", at positions 67 to 154 of the family's 154-position model. The record is from RNAcentral. Lineage: Eukaryota; Fungi.